RNAcentral lists this ribosomal RNA (674 nucleotides) under Streptomyces anulatus. RNAcentral describes it as "bacterial SSU rRNA". It matches the Rfam family "Bacterial small subunit ribosomal RNA", at positions 75 to 765 of the family's 1533-position model. Lineage: Bacteria; Bacillati; Actinomycetota; Actinomycetes; Kitasatosporales; Streptomycetaceae. The record is from RNAcentral.
GCCUUUCGGGGUGGAUUAGUGGCGAACGGGUGAGUAACACGUGGGCAAUCUGCCCUUCACUCUGGGACAAGCCCUGGAAACGGGGUCUAAUACCGGAUAACACUCUGUCCCGCAUGGGACGGGGUUAAAAGCUCCGGCGGUGAAGGAUGAGCCCGCGGCCUAUCAGCUUGUUGGUGGGGUAAUGGCCUACCAAGGCGACGACGGGUAGCCGGCCUGAGAGGGCGACCGGCCACACUGGGACUGAGACACGGCCCAGACUCCUACGGGAGGCAGCAGUGGGGAAUAUUGCACAAUGGGCGAAAGCCUGAUGCAGCGACGCCGCGUGAGGGAUGACGGCCUUCGGGUUGUAAACCUCUUUCAGCAGGGAAGAAGCGAAAGUGACGGUACCUGCAGAAGAAGCGCCGGCUAACUACGUGCCAGCAGCCGCGGUAAUACGUAGGGCGCAAGCGUUGUCCGGAAUUAUUGGGCGUAAAGAGCUCGUAGGCGGCUUGUCACGUCGGAUGUGAAAGCCCGGGGCUUAACCCCGGGUCUGCAUUCGAUACGGGCUAGCUAGAGUGUGGUAGGGGAGAUCGGAAUUCCUGGUGUAGCGGUGAAAUGCGCAGAUAUCAGGAGGAACACCGGUGGCGAAGGCGGAUCUCUGGGCCAUUACUGACGCUGAGGAGCGAAAGCGUGGG